Non-coding RNA from Glycine max (soybean), 80 nucleotides. NCBI's taxonomy places the organism in Eukaryota, Viridiplantae, Streptophyta, Magnoliopsida, Fabales, Fabaceae. The record is from Rfam.
UGGAGAAGGGGAGCACGUGCAAAGGGUUCAAUGGCGCUUAAAGAGAGCCGAGAGAGUUGCACGUGCCCUGCUUCUCCAAC